Carassius gibelio (silver crucian carp) is the source of this 691-nucleotide long non-coding RNA. RefSeq lists it as uncharacterized. NCBI's taxonomy places the organism in Eukaryota, Metazoa, Chordata, Actinopteri, Cypriniformes, Cyprinidae. The transcript is spliced from 4 exons. The record is from RefSeq and is a predicted model, not a curated record.
CCACGCACAUCAACGCGCUUCAAAAUCGUCGGCAGCGCUGCGUAGGAUUUGUUCGAGAAUGCCUCCAAAUAAGUGCGUUUUUGGAUGUGAGGGAAAGUUUACUGUGUACAGCUCCCCCAAGAACCCAGCGUUACAUGAACAGUGGAUGCAGUUUUUAGUUUUUUCUGGGAAGCAAUGGAGUGUAUCAAGUGCAUUUGUGUGUUCUGGUCACGAAAGUUUUAUAAACAAGGCCCAAGUCGACGCUGUAUUUGCACAUCGUUUGCUAUUAAACAUGGAGCUGACCCUGUGACAAAAGACCCCAUUCAUGCAAGCCUUAACAUGGAACCCGCAGGGCAAGCGGAAAAGAGGCAGGCCAAGAAACACAUGGCGUCGAGAACUGGAGGCAGAUAUAAAGAACAUGAAUAUUACCUGGAACCAACUAGAGAAGAGACCCCAGGACAGAGACUCUUGGAGAUCCCUAAUUGGCGGCCUAUGCCCCAAAAGAGAUGUCAUUAACUGGAAAGUCGUUCCUGUAGUCUCUGAGGAAGACGCCAUCCAUUAAGUGGACGAAGAAAAGCCGAAGGAGCUAUUCUUGGAGGAUGAAGGGAAUAUAGACAAAGCCAUAUUUAGUAGAGACAGUCUUGAGACUGAAGAGGAGAAGAAAUGGAUUCAAUACAUGAGGAAGAACAGGGAAAGAAUAAAGACUCUGCUG